This 31-nucleotide non-coding RNA is filed under the name Rattus norvegicus (Norway rat). The record is from RNAcentral. Lineage: Eukaryota; Metazoa; Chordata; Mammalia; Rodentia; Muridae.
UACACUGGGUCGUGGAGGGUUUCUCCCCUGC